GAUGAACGCUGGCGGCGUGCCUAAUACAUGCAAGUCGAGCGAACGGACGAGAAGCUUGCUUCUCUGAUGUUAGCGGCGGACGGGUGAGUAACACGUGGAUAACCUACCUAUAAGACUGGGAUAACUUCGGGAAACCGUAGCUAAUACCGGAUAAUAUUUUGAACCGCAUGGUUCAAAAGUGAAAGACGGUCUUGCUGUCACUUAUAGAUGGAUCCGCGCUGCAUUAGCUAGUUGGUAAGGUAACGGCUUACCAAGGCAACGAUGCAUAGCCGACCUGAGAGGGUGAGCGGCAACACUGGAACGGAGAAACGGACCAGACAAAGACGGGAGGAAGAAGGAGGGAAUAGUCAGGAAGGGGAGAAAGCCUGAAGGAGCAACGCCGCGUGAGUGAUGAAGGUAUUCGGAUCGAAAAACUCGGUUAUGAGGGAAGAACAUAAGGGUAAGUAAAUGUGCACAUCAGGACGGUACCUAAUAAGAAAGCCACGGCUAACUACG
RNAcentral lists this ribosomal RNA (495 nucleotides) under uncultured bacterium. RNAcentral describes it as "partial 16S ribosomal RNA". It matches the Rfam family "Bacterial small subunit ribosomal RNA", at positions 28 to 505 of the family's 1533-position model. The record is from RNAcentral.